CAAGUCGAACGGUAACAGGGAGCUUGCUCCGCUGACGAGUGGCGAACGGGUGAGUAAUAUAUCGGAACGUACCCAAGAGUGGGGGAUAACGUAGCGAAAGUUACGCUAAUACCGCAUACGAUCCAAGGAUGAAAGCAGGGGAUCUUCGGACCUUGUGCUCCUGGAGCGGCCGAUAUCUGAUUAGCUAGUUGGUGAGGUAAAGGCUCACCAAGGCGACGAUCAGUAGCUGGUCUGAGAGGACGACCAGCCACACUGGAACUGAGACACGGUCCAGACUCCUACGGGAGGCAGCAGUGGGGAAUUUUGGACAAUGGGCGCAAGCCUGAUCCAGCAAUGCCGCGUGAGUGAAGAAGGCCUUCGGGUUGUAAAGCUCUCUUGUCAGGGAAGAAACGGGAGUGGCUAAUAUCCAUUCUUAAUGACGGUACCUGAAGAAUAAGCACCGGCUAACUACGUGCCAGCAGCCGCGGUAAUACGUAGGGUGCAAGCGUUAAUCGGAAUUACUGGGCGUAAAGCGUGCGCAGGCGGUUUUGUAAGUCUGUCGUGAAAUCCCCGGGCUCAACCUGGGAAUUGCGAUGGAGACUGCAAGGCUAGAAUCUGGCAGAGGGGGGUAGAAUUCCACGUGUAGCAGUGAAAUGCGUAGAGAUGUGGAGGAACACCGAUGGCGAAGGCAGCCCCCUGGGUCAAGAUUGACGCUCAUGCACGAAAGCGUGGGGAGCAAACAGGAUUAGAUACCCUGGUAGUCCACGCCCUAAACGAUGUCUACUAGUUGUCGGGUUUUAAUUAACUUGGUAACGCAGCUAACGCGUGAAGUAGACCGCCUGGGGAGUACGGUCGCAAGAUUAAAACUCAAAGGAAUUGACGGGGACCCGCACAAGCGGUGGAUGGAUGUGGAUUAAUUCGAUGCACCGCGAAAAACCUUACCUACCCU
RNAcentral lists this ribosomal RNA (928 nucleotides) under uncultured Massilia sp. RNAcentral's name for it is "bacterial SSU rRNA". It matches the Rfam family "Bacterial small subunit ribosomal RNA", at positions 58 to 981 of the family's 1533-position model. The record is from RNAcentral. Lineage: Bacteria; Pseudomonadati; Pseudomonadota; Betaproteobacteria; Burkholderiales; Oxalobacteraceae.